GACGAACGCUGGCGGCGUGCCUAACACAUGCAAGUCGAACGGUAAGGCCCUUCGGGGUACACGAGUGGCGAACGGGUGAGUAACACGUGGGUGAUCUGCCCUGCACUUCGGGAUAAGCCUGGGAAACUGGGUCUAAUACCGGAUAGGACCACUGCCUGCAUGGGUGGUGGUGGAAAGCUUUUGCGGUGUGGGAUGGGCCCGCGGCCUAUCAGCUUGUUGGUGGGGUGAUGGCCUACCAAGGCGACGACGGGUAGCCGGCCUGAGGGGGUGACCGGCCACAAGAGGACUGGGAUACGGCCCAGACUCCUACGGGAGGCAGCAGUGGGGAAUAUUGCACAAUGGGCGCAAGCCUGAUGCAGCGACGCCGCGUGAGGGAUGACGGCCUUCGGGUUGUAAACCUCUUUCAGCACCGACGAAGCGCAAGUGACGGUAGGUGCAGAAGAAGGACCGGCCGACUACGUGCCAGCCGCCGCAGUAA
RNAcentral lists this ribosomal RNA (478 nucleotides) under uncultured bacterium. RNAcentral's name for it is "partial 16S ribosomal RNA". It matches the Rfam family "Bacterial small subunit ribosomal RNA", at positions 28 to 523 of the family's 1533-position model. The record is from RNAcentral.